RNAcentral lists this ribosomal RNA (226 nucleotides) under uncultured Actinomycetales bacterium. RNAcentral describes it as "partial 16S ribosomal RNA". It matches the Rfam family "Bacterial small subunit ribosomal RNA", at positions 104 to 334 of the family's 1533-position model. The record is from RNAcentral. Lineage: Bacteria; Bacillati; Actinomycetota; Actinomycetes; Actinomycetales.
GGGUGAGUAACACGUGGGUGAUCUGCCCUGCACUCUGGGAUAAGCCUGGGAAACUGGGUCUAAUACCGGAUAGGACCAUGCUUGAGUGUGUGUGGUGGAAAGUUUUUCGGUGUAGGAUGAGCCCGCGGCCUAUCAGCUUGUUGGUGGGGUAAUGGCUUACCAAGGCAGUGAUACGUAGCCGACUUGAGAGGGUGAUCGGCCACACUGGGACUGAGACACGGCCCAG